AACGCACAUUGCGCUCCUCGGUAUUCCGGGGAGCAUGCCUGUUCGAGCGUCAUUACACCUCUCAAGCGUAGCUUGGUAUUGAGCUUGUCCUUUGCGGACAUUUUCGAAAAUGAGUGGCGGUCGAGUAUGACUUCAAGCGUAGUAAAAUUAUUCCCGCUUUGGAAGCUUUGUACUCUGAUCUGCCAAAACCCAUGUCUUUCAAAAAUUGACCUCGGAUCAGGUAGGGAUACCCGCUGAACUUAA
RNAcentral lists this unclassified non-coding RNA (243 nucleotides) under uncultured fungus. RNAcentral's name for it is "partial contains 5.8S ribosomal RNA, internal transcribed spacer 2, and large subunit ribosomal RNA". The stretch from base 1 to 52 matches the Rfam family "5.8S ribosomal RNA", at positions 103 to 154 of the family's 154-position model. Lineage: Eukaryota; Fungi. The record is from RNAcentral.